RNAcentral lists this ribosomal RNA (253 nucleotides) under uncultured bacterium. Its description in RNAcentral is "partial 16S ribosomal RNA". It matches the Rfam family "Bacterial small subunit ribosomal RNA", at positions 524 to 776 of the family's 1533-position model. The record is from RNAcentral.
UACGUAGGGUGCGAGCGUUGUCCGGAAUUAUUGGGCGUAAAGGGCUCGUAGGAGGUUUGUCGCGUCGGGUGUGAAAACCCAGGGCUUAACUCUGGGCUUGCUUUCGAUACGGGCAGACUAGAGGUAUGCAGGGGAGAACGGAAUUCCUGGUGUAGCGGUGAAAUGCGCAGAUAUCAGGAGGAACACCGGUGGCGAAGGCGGUUCUCUGGGCAUUGCCUGACGCUGAGGAGCGAAAGUGUGGGGAGCGAACAGG